Molecule: long non-coding RNA, 983 nt
Organism: Oreochromis aureus
Lineage: Eukaryota; Metazoa; Chordata; Actinopteri; Cichliformes; Cichlidae
Exons: 2
Source: RefSeq, a predicted model, not a curated record
GUGGAUGGCUCACGAUUGCUCAUGUGGUUCGUUGCUCAACGGAACAAAUUGUUCAUUAACUGUGGGCCUAAUGCUCUAACAAAUGUCCCAGGAACAUUGCUGCGGUGGACCACACGACGAUGGAAUUAAGCUAAUCAAAUAAGCCUCCAGUCAUGUCCUAUCAGACAGCUCCAGACUGUAGCAAAUGAGCCCACGUCGCAAAAUUUACAUUUCGUCUUCCCCAGGGGACAGGUUGGGUCCCACCUCACCACUACUUUUCUCCCCAAUCAGCAUCUGGCUCCUGGAGGAAGAAGAUGGAAAUGGGGAAAAAGAGAGAUGUGAUAGUUCCUGGCUGUACAGUGAAGCCGCUGAACCUCUCCUGCCACUUCCUGGGCACGCUUCUGAUGAAUAAGGGAGAGAAAAUAGAGAAGAUGACAGCAGGGGAAAUAUUUGCUGUUGCGGUUGGAGUGCCACUCAGAUCCCAAGAAUGAGGGCCAGGCAUAUUUGCGCAGCUGUCCAUUUCCCAAGCGCCGAGUGCAUGAGUGUGGGCCCGCUGGAGACUAUUUGUUUGUCAAAGUCACUAUGGCUGCGAUCUAUGCCAGAAACAAGGAAGAAGGAGAGACUAUGCUCCAAGAGAGAGUUGGGAUGCAAGGAGAGCCAAACAGAUGCCCUCAUAAUUCCUAACUUGUCUCCUUGCUGCCUUCGUCCUUCCAGAUGCUCACUAACUUGUCAUCUCCCAUUCUUUUGUGGAGUAUAGGCCUAUAGAGAAAAUGUAUGCACCCCAUGCAAAUGUGUUAUUUUCUUAACAUAUUUUGAACUGCUAUUCCCUGCAGCAAUAAGUAAAUUAAAUGAAAGCAAUGCACAGAUGCAACUGUAAACACAAAACAUAACCAGAGCUAACACUAGAGGCAAACAUGCAGCGCUAAUGGUGUAAUAAUAAAUAAAUGUUGUUGUUUUUUAUUGUGGUGAACCUGCUGUACUGUAAUAAAAGCCAACUCCAUCUA